AUAGCGUAUAUUAAAGUUGUUGCAGUUAAAAAGCUCGUAGUUGAACUUCAGACCUGGCUGGAUGGUCAGCUUUUUAGCGUGUACUGUCUGGCUGGGCCUUACUUCUUGGUGAGCUGAUGUGCCCUUUAUUGGGUGCGUUGGUGAACCAGGACCUUUACCUUGAGAAAAUUAGAGUGUUCAAAGCAGGCCUAUGCCCGAAUACAUUAGCAUGGAAUAAUAAAAUAGGACGUGCGGUUCUAUUUUGUUGGUUUCUAGAGUCGCCGUAAUGAUUAAUAGGGAUAGUUGGGGGCAUUGGUAUUGAGUCGCUAGAGGUGAAAUUCUUGGAUUGACUCAAGACCAACUACUG
RNAcentral lists this ribosomal RNA (346 nucleotides) under uncultured eukaryote. RNAcentral describes it as "SSU rRNA". It matches the Rfam family "Eukaryotic small subunit ribosomal RNA", at positions 594 to 945 of the family's 1831-position model. The record is from RNAcentral.